RNAcentral lists this ribosomal RNA (497 nucleotides) under uncultured bacterium. Its description in RNAcentral is "partial 16S ribosomal RNA". It matches the Rfam family "Bacterial small subunit ribosomal RNA", at positions 28 to 507 of the family's 1533-position model. The record is from RNAcentral.
GACGAACGCUGGCGGCGUGCCUAAUACAUGCAAGUUGAGCGAUGAAGAUUGGUGCUUGCACCAAUUUGCAGAGCAGCGAACGGGUGAGUAACGCGUGGGGAAUCUGCCUUUGAGCGGGGGACAACAUUUGGAAACGAAUGCUAAUACCGCAUAACAACUUUAAACAUAAGUUUUAAGUUUGAAAGAUGCAAUUGCAUCACUCAAAGAUGAUCCCGCGUUGUAUUAGCUAGUUGGUGAGGUAAAGGCUCACCAAGGCGAUGAUACAUAGCCGACCUGAGAGGGUGAUCGGCCACCUUGGGACUGAGACACGGCCCAAACUCCUACGGGAGGCAGCAGUAGGGAAUCUUCGGCAAUGGACGAAAGUCUGACCGAGCAACGCCGCGUGAGUGAAGAAGGUUUUCGGAUCGUAAAACUCUGUUGGUAGAGAAGAACGUUGGUGAGAGUGGAAAGCUCAUCAAGUGACGGUAACUACCCAGAAAGGGACGGCUAACUACGUG